GGGUCAGUAGGUUGGUCGUGCCACCGGUACGUACUGGUCUCACUGAUUCCUCCUUCCUGAAGAACCGUAAUGCCAUUAAUUUGGUGUUGCGGGGAAACAGGACUGUUACUUUGAAAAAAUUAGAGUGUUUAAAGCAAGCUAACGCUUGAAUACAUUAGCAUGGAAUAAUGAAAUAGGACGAUCGAUCCUAUUUUGUUGGUUUCUAGGAUUGACGUAAUGAUUAAUUGGGAUACUUGGG
RNAcentral lists this ribosomal RNA (238 nucleotides) under Glomeromycotina sp. RNAcentral's name for it is "partial small subunit ribosomal RNA". The stretch from base 40 to 238 matches the Rfam family "Eukaryotic small subunit ribosomal RNA", at positions 686 to 886 of the family's 1831-position model. Lineage: Eukaryota; Fungi; Glomeromycota. The record is from RNAcentral.